RNAcentral lists this ribosomal RNA (500 nucleotides) under uncultured bacterium. Its description in RNAcentral is "partial 16S ribosomal RNA". It matches the Rfam family "Bacterial small subunit ribosomal RNA", at positions 30 to 523 of the family's 1533-position model. The record is from RNAcentral.
AUUGAACGCUGGCGGAAUGCUUUACACAUGCAAGUCGAACGGCAGCACGGACUUCGGUCUGGUGGCGAGUGGCGAACGGGUGAGUAAUGUAUCGGAACGUGCCCAGUCGUGGGGGAUAACGUAGUGAAAAUUACGCUAAUACCGCAUACGAUCUAUGGAUGAAAGCGGGGGAUCGCAAGACCUCGCGCGAUUGGAGCGGCCGAUAUCAGAUUAGGUAGUUGGGGGGGUAAAGGCCCACCAAGCCAACGAUCUGUAGCUGGUCUGAGAGGACGACCAGCCACACUGGAACUGAGAAACGGACCAGACUCCGACGGGGGGCAGCAGUGGGGAAUUUUGGACAAUGGGCGAAAGCCUGAUCCAGCCUUUCCGCGUGCAGGAUGAAGACCCUCGGGUUGUAAACUGCUUUUGUACAGAACGAAAAGGUUUCUACUAAUACUAGGAGCUCAUGACGGUACUGUAAGAAUAAGCACCGGCUAACUACGUGCCAGCCGCCGCAGUAA